Molecule: ribosomal RNA, 479 nt
Filed under: uncultured bacterium
Lineage: Bacteria
Description: bacterial SSU rRNA
Rfam family: Bacterial small subunit ribosomal RNA
Source: RNAcentral
UAACACAUGCAAGUCGAGCGGAAACGAGUUAUCUGAACCUUCGGGGAACGAUAACGGCGUCGAGCGGCGGACGGGUGAGUAAUGCCUGGGAAAUUGCCCUGAUGUGGGGGAUAACCAUUGGAAACGAUGGCUAAUACCGCAUAAUAGCUUCGGCUCAAAGAGGGGGACCUUCGGGCCUCUCGCGUCAGGAUAUGCCCAGGUGGGAUUAGCUAGUUGGUGAGGUAAGGGCUCACCAAGGCGACGAUCCCUAGCUGGUCUGAGAGGAUGAUCAGCCACACUGGAACUGAGACACGGUCCAGACUCCUACGGGAGGCAGCAGUGGGGAAUAUUGCACAAUGGGCGCAAGCCUGAUGCAGCCAUGCCGCGUGUAUGAAGAAGGCCUUCGGGUUGUAAAGUACUUUCAGCAGUGAGGAAGGUGGUGUACUUAAUACGUGCAUCAUUUGACGUUAGCUGCAGAAGAAGCACCGGCUAACUCCGUG